ACGGGAGGCAGCAGUGAGGAAUAUUGGUCAAUGGGCGGAAGCCUGAACCAGCCAAGUCGCGUGAAGGAUGAAGGUAUUAUGUAUUGUAAACUUCUUUAGUCGUAGAGAAAUAAGGUGCUCGUGAGCACUGAUGCUAGUAUACGAAGAAUAAGGAUCGGCUAACUCCGUGCCAGCAGCCGCGGUAAUACGGAGGAUCCGAGCGUUAUCCGGAUUUAUUGGGUUUAAAGGGUGCGCAGGCGGCUUUUUAAGUCAGUGGUCAAAUCGUGGGGCUCAACCCCAUCCCGCCAUUGAUACUGGAGAGCUUGAUUGCGGUCGAGGUUGGCGGAAUUCGUCGUGUAGCGGUGAAAUGCAUAGAUAUGACGAAGAACCCCGAUUGCGUAGGCAGCUUACCAAGCCGUAAAUGACGCUCAUGCACGAAAGUGCGGGGAUCGAACAGGAUUAGAUACCCUGGUA
This 453-nucleotide ribosomal RNA is filed under the name uncultured Porphyromonadaceae bacterium. RNAcentral describes it as "partial 16S ribosomal RNA". It matches the Rfam family "Bacterial small subunit ribosomal RNA", at positions 341 to 792 of the family's 1533-position model. The record is from RNAcentral. Lineage: Bacteria; Pseudomonadati; Bacteroidota; Bacteroidia; Bacteroidales; Porphyromonadaceae.